RNAcentral lists this ribosomal RNA (460 nucleotides) under uncultured bacterium. RNAcentral describes it as "partial 16S ribosomal RNA". It matches the Rfam family "Bacterial small subunit ribosomal RNA", at positions 338 to 795 of the family's 1533-position model. The record is from RNAcentral.
CCUACGGGCGGCAGCAGUGAGGAAUAUUGGUCAAUGGACGAGAGUCUGAACCAGCCAAGUAGCGUGAAGGAUGACUGCCCUAUGGGUUGUAAACUUCUUUUAUAUGGGAAUAAAAUGUUCCACGUGUGGGAUUUUGUAUGUACCAUAUGAAUAAGGAUCGGCUAACUCCGUGCCAGCAGCCGCGGUAAUACGGCGGAUCCGAGCGUUAUCCGGAUUUAUUGGGUUUAAAGGGAGCGUAGGUGGAUUGUUAAGUCAGUUGUGAAAGUUUGCGGCUCAACCGUAAAAUUGCAGUUGAAACUGGCAGUCGUGAGUACAGUAGAGGUGGGCGGAAUUCGUGGUGUAGCGGUGAAAUGCUUAGAUAUCACGAAGAACUCCGAUUGCGAAGGCAGCUCACUGGACUGCAACUGACACUGAGGCUCGAAAGUGUGGGUAUCAAACAGGAUUAGAUACCCCAGUAGUC